RNAcentral lists this transfer RNA (75 nucleotides) under Algoriphagus locisalis. RNAcentral describes it as "tRNA_Pseudo_???". Lineage: Bacteria; Pseudomonadati; Bacteroidota; Cytophagia; Cytophagales; Cyclobacteriaceae. The record is from RNAcentral.
UGCGGAUUAGCUCAGCCGGUUAGCACGUCCCGAAAGCAUUCGGGAAGGUCAUCGGUUCGACUCCGUUAUCCUCCA